RNAcentral lists this non-coding RNA (192 nucleotides) under Geotalea uraniireducens. RNAcentral also lists the same sequence under 1 other name. Lineage: Bacteria; Pseudomonadati; Thermodesulfobacteriota; Desulfuromonadia; Geobacterales; Geobacteraceae. The record is from RNAcentral.
AACUGAAUAUCGGAUCACGGUGCCCGCAAGGGCUUGAUAGGGAAGAGGGGUGCCGCUCAAACCGAGCCAUUCCCCCGCGGACCCGCCGCUGUAAGCGAGGACGAAGGGCAUUAUGUCACUGGUCGAAAGACCGGGAAGGCGCCCGGAGGAUGAAUCGCGAGCCAGAAGACCUGCCAUGAUCUUAGCACUCAA